Molecule: ribosomal RNA, 857 nt
Filed under: uncultured haloarchaeon
Lineage: Archaea; Methanobacteriati; Methanobacteriota; Halobacteria; Halobacteriales; Halobacteriaceae
Description: bacterial SSU rRNA
Rfam family: Archaeal small subunit ribosomal RNA
Source: RNAcentral
GCUAUCGGAGUCCGAUUUAGCCAUGCUAGUCGCACGGGUUCAGACCCGUGGCGAAUAGCUCCGUAACACGUGGCCAAUCUACCCUUCAGCGGUGGACACCCUCGGGAAACUGAGGCUAAUCCACCAUAGCACUCACACCCUGGAAUGGGGCGAGUGUGAAAGCUCAGGCACUGAAGGAUGAGGCUGCGGCCGAUUAGGUAGACGGUGGGGUAACGGCCCACCGUGCCAAUAAUCGGUACGGGUUGUGAGAGCAAGAACCCGGAGACGGACUCUGAGACACGAGUCCGGGCCCUACGGGGCGCAGCAGGCGCGAAACCUUUACACUGCACGACAGUGCGAUAGGGGGACACCGAGUGCGAGGGCAUAGAGCCCUCGCUUUUCUGAACCUUAAGGUGGUUCAGGAACAAGGGCUGGGCAAGACCGGUGCCAGCCGCCGCGGUAACACCGGCAGCCCAAGUGAUGGCCGAUAUUAUUGGGCCUAAAGCGUCCGUAGCUGGCCGCGCAAGUUCGUCGGGAAAUCCACGCGCUUAACGUGUGGGCGUCCGGCGAAAACUGUGCGGCUUGGGACCGGAAGAUCUGAGGGGUACGUCUGGGGUAGGAGUGAAAUCCCGUAAUCCUGGACGGACCACCGAUGGCGAAAGCACCUCAGAAGGACGGAUCCGACAGUGAGGGACGAAAGCUAGGGUCUCGAACCGGAUUAGAUACCCGGGUAGUCCUAGCCGUAAACGAUGCUCGCUAGGUGUGGCACAGGCUACGAGCCUGUGCUGUGCCGUAGGGAAGCCGUGAAGCGAGCCGCCUGGGAAGUACGUCUGCAAGGAUGAAACUUAAAGGAAUUGGCGGGGGAGCACUACAACCGG